Molecule: ribosomal RNA, 254 nt
Filed under: uncultured bacterium
Lineage: Bacteria
Description: partial 16S ribosomal RNA
Rfam family: Bacterial small subunit ribosomal RNA
Source: RNAcentral
UACGGAGGAUCCGAGCGUUAUCCGGAUUUAUUGGGUUUAAAGGGAGCGUAGGUGGAUUGUUAAGCCAGUUGUGAAAGUUUGCGGCUCAACCGUAAAAUUGCAGUUGAAACUGGCAGUCUUGAGUACAGUAGAGGUGGGCGGAAUUCGUGGUGUAGCGGUGAAAUGCUUAGAUAUCACGUAGAACUCCGAUUGCGAAGGCAGCUCACUGGACUGUUGACUGACACUGAGGCUCGAAAGUGUGGGUAUCAAACAGG